GGGGUUGUAGCUCAGUUGGGAGAGCGCCUGAAUCGCACUCAGGAGGUCGGGAGUUCGAAUCUCCUCAAUUCCA
Molecule: transfer RNA, 73 nt
Filed under: candidate division Zixibacteria bacterium CG_4_9_14_3_um_filter_46_8
Lineage: Bacteria; Pseudomonadati; Candidatus Zixiibacteriota
Description: tRNA-Ala
Rfam family: tRNA
About the family: Transfer RNA (tRNA) molecules are approximately 80 nucleotides in length. Their secondary structure includes four short double-helical elements and three loops (D, anti-codon, and T loops). Further hydrogen bonds mediate the characteristic L-shaped molecular structure. tRNAs have two regions of fundamental functional importance: the anti-codon, which is responsible for specific mRNA codon recognition, and the 3' end, to which the tRNAs corresponding amino acid is attached (by aminoacyl-tRNA synthetases). tRNAs cope with the degeneracy of the genetic code in two manners: having more than one tRNA (with a specific anti-codon) for a particular amino acid; and 'wobble' base-pairing, i.e. permitting non-standard base-pairing at the 3rd anti-codon position.
Source: RNAcentral